Molecule: ribosomal RNA, 506 nt
Filed under: uncultured bacterium
Lineage: Bacteria
Description: partial 16S ribosomal RNA
Rfam family: Bacterial small subunit ribosomal RNA
Source: RNAcentral
AUUGAACGCUGGCGGCAGGCCUAACACAUGCAAGUCGAACGGCAGCACAGAAGAGCUUGCUCUUUGGGUGGCGAAUGGCGGACGGGUGAGUAAUGUCUGGGAAACUGCCCGAUGGAGGGGGAUAACUACUGGAAACGGUAGCUAAUACCGCAUAACGUCGCGAGACCAAAGUGGGGGACCUUCGGGCCUCACACCAUCGGAUGUGCCCAGAUGGGAUUAGCUAGUAGGUGGGGUAAUGGCUCACCUAGGCGACGAUCCCUAGCUGGUCUGAGAGGAUGACCAGCCACACUGGAACUGAGACACGGUCCAGACUCCUACGGGAGGCAGCAGUGGGGAAUAUUGCACAAUGGGCGCAAGCCUGAUGCAGCCAUGCCGCGUGUAUGAAGAAGGCCUUCGGGUUGUAAAGUACUUUCAGCGGGGAGGAUGGCGGUGAGGUUAAUAACCUUGCCGAUUGACGUUACCCGCAGAAGAAGCACCGGCUAACUCCGUGCCAGCAGCCGCCGUAA